CCUACGGGAGGCAGCAGUGAGGAAUAUUGGUCAAUGGACGAGAGUCUGAACCAGCCAAGUAGCGUGAAGGAUGACUGCCCUAUGGGUUGUAAACUUCUUUUAUAUGGGAAUAAAAUGUUCCACGUGUGUGAUUUUGUAUGUACCAUAUGAAUAAGGAUAGGCUAACUCCGUGCCAGCAGCCGCGUUAAUCCGGAGGAUCCGAGCGUUAUCCGGAUUUAUUGGUUUUAAAGGGAGCGUAGGUGGAUUGUUAAGUCAGUUGUGAAAGUUUGCGGCUCAACCGUAAAAUUGCAGUUGACACUGGCAGUCUUGAGUACAGUAGAGGUGGGCGGAAUUCGUGGUGUAGCGGUGAAAUGCUUAGAUAUCACGAAGAACUCCGAUUGCGAAGGCAGCUCACUGGACUGCAACUGACACUGAGGCUCGAAAGUGUGGGUAGCAAACAGGAUUAGAUACCCUUGUAGUC
This 460-nucleotide ribosomal RNA is filed under the name uncultured bacterium. RNAcentral describes it as "partial 16S ribosomal RNA". It matches the Rfam family "Bacterial small subunit ribosomal RNA", at positions 338 to 795 of the family's 1533-position model. The record is from RNAcentral.